This is a non-coding RNA of Parelaphostrongylus tenuis, 73 nucleotides long. NCBI's taxonomy places the organism in Eukaryota, Metazoa, Nematoda, Chromadorea, Rhabditida, Metastrongylidae. The record is from the annotation of a GenBank genome assembly.
GCGUCGGUGGUGCAACGGUUCAGCACACGCUUUCGGAGACAGUGAGGUGUGGGUUCAAAUCCCGGCUGAUGCA